AAAAUGUAUCAGCAUGUGCCAUUCUAAGCUGAGUGAGAAAAUGAAUUUAUUCAUGUUUACUUCUAGAGAUGACAGGGCCACACUCCUGCUUCUGGCCACUCUAUUCCUUCCCUCCUUAUCCCUGGUAUCCUUCCAUGGUACAGCUGCUUGUGGUUUAUGUUCCUUCUGGUAAACUCCUUGCUCACCUGUGGGAACUGAACAUAUUAGAGAACCAUCAAUAAACACACACUUUGCAUACCAUAAUCUAUACAUUUGACU
RNAcentral lists this long non-coding RNA (258 nucleotides) under Ictidomys tridecemlineatus (thirteen-lined ground squirrel). RNAcentral's name for it is "lncRNA (ENSSTOG00000031765.1)". The record is from RNAcentral. Lineage: Eukaryota; Metazoa; Chordata; Mammalia; Rodentia; Sciuridae.